Molecule: long non-coding RNA, 218 nt
Filed under: Junco hyemalis (dark-eyed junco)
Lineage: Eukaryota; Metazoa; Chordata; Aves; Passeriformes; Passerellidae
Description: lncRNA (ENSJHYG00000004375.1)
Source: RNAcentral
CUAGGAGGAGAUGCCGAGGGACGUGUAAACCACUUUGCAAGAUCAUCCCAGGAAAGGAACUAAAGGAGCCAGAACUUAGGGAGGAGGAGGAGGUCAGGAAGCCUCCUAAUCCUUGCUGUGUUGCCAAAUGGAAAUGUGAAAGCUGCCAGGAAAGAAUAGGGAUCAGAAGUGUCCAUUUCUAAUCAACCUAGGAAAUGAUACUCAAAGUUCACAACAAC